UUGUCCUACGGGACGCAGCAGUGAGGAAUAUUGGUCAAUGGACGCAAGUCUGAACCAGCCAAGUAGCGUGCAGGAUGACGGCCCUCCGGGUUGUAAACUGCUUUUAGUUGGGAAUAAAAGGGGGCUCGUGAGCCCCGUAUUGUAUGUACCAACAGAAAAAGGACCGGCUAAUUCCGUGCCAGCAGCCGCGGUAAUACGGAAGGUCCGGGGGGUAUCCGGAUUUAUUGGGUUUAAAGGGAGCGUCGGCCGGCUUUUAAGUCAGCU
This 264-nucleotide ribosomal RNA is filed under the name uncultured bacterium. RNAcentral describes it as "partial 16S ribosomal RNA". It matches the Rfam family "Bacterial small subunit ribosomal RNA", at positions 334 to 593 of the family's 1533-position model. The record is from RNAcentral.